RNAcentral lists this ribosomal RNA (104 nucleotides) under uncultured bacterium. RNAcentral's name for it is "partial 16S ribosomal RNA". It matches the Rfam family "Bacterial small subunit ribosomal RNA", at positions 1396 to 1500 of the family's 1533-position model. The record is from RNAcentral.
GUCACACCAUGAGAGUUGGGAAUACCCGAAGCCUGUGAGCUAACUUUUAGAGGCAGCAGUCGAAGGUAGAAUCAAUGAUUGGGGUGAAGUCGUAACAAGGUAAC